RNAcentral lists this long non-coding RNA (216 nucleotides) under Mytilus galloprovincialis (Mediterranean mussel). Lineage: Eukaryota; Metazoa; Mollusca; Bivalvia; Mytilida; Mytilidae. The record is from RNAcentral.
GUGUGAGUGGUCGUUGGUUUGAGUGAUGGAUCUUCGACUGAGUAAAACUAAAACUACAAAGCUGAUGCUGUCUUUGUCUGUAUCCUUUUUUUUUUUUGCAUUAGAAUAGCUAACAAUUUUUUAUUUGAUGGUACAUUUGAAGAUAUUCAAAAUAUAAAAUGUAUAUCAAUGCUAACCAGUAUAUCAAUAGAAAUUAUUUUUAAUGUAUGAAAUUUA